UCUAAUAUGGCAGAAUAGUGCAUUGGACUUAAACCCCAAUUAUAAAGGUAACUUUUUUUAGAA
RNAcentral lists this transfer RNA (63 nucleotides) under Hippodamia convergens (convergent lady beetle). RNAcentral describes it as "tRNA-Leu". It matches the Rfam family "tRNA". From Rfam's summary of the family: Transfer RNA (tRNA) molecules are approximately 80 nucleotides in length. Their secondary structure includes four short double-helical elements and three loops (D, anti-codon, and T loops). Lineage: Eukaryota; Metazoa; Arthropoda; Insecta; Coleoptera; Coccinellidae. The record is from RNAcentral.